RNAcentral lists this non-coding RNA (148 nucleotides) under Nomascus leucogenys (northern white-cheeked gibbon). The record is from Rfam by way of RNAcentral. Lineage: Eukaryota; Metazoa; Chordata; Mammalia; Primates; Hylobatidae.
GCCAGGCGUGGUGGUGCACGCCUGUAAUCCCAGCUACUUGGGAGGCUGAAGCAGGAGAAUAGCUUGAACCUGGGAGGCAGAGGUUGCAGUGAGCUGAGAUCAUGCCACUGCACUCCAGCCUAGGCAACAAAGCCAGACCCUGUCUCAA